GAAGCUGACCAGACAGUCGCCGCUUCGUCGUCGUCCUCUUUCGGGGGGAGACGGGCGGAGGGGAGGAAAGUCCGGGCUCCAUAGGGCAAGGUGCCAGGUAACGCCUGGGGGGUGUCACAGCCCACGACCAGUGCAACAGAGAGCAAACCGCCGAUGGCCCGUGCAAGCGGGAUCAGGUAAGGGUGAAAGGGUGCGGUAAGAGCGCACCGCGCGGCUGGUAACAGUCCGCGGCACGGUAAACUCCACCCGGAGCAAGGCCAAAUAGGGGUUCAUAAGGUACGGCCCGUACUGAACCCGGGUAGGCUGCUUGAGCCAGUGAGCGAUUGCUGGCCUAGAUGAAUGACUGUCCACGACAGAACCCGGCUUAUCGGUCAGUUUCACCU
This 383-nucleotide RNase P RNA is filed under the name Klebsiella quasipneumoniae. RNAcentral describes it as "RNase P RNA component class A". It matches the Rfam family "Bacterial RNase P class A". Rfam says of the family: Ribonuclease P (RNase P) is a ubiquitous endoribonuclease, found in archaea, bacteria and eukarya as well as chloroplasts and mitochondria. Its best characterised activity is the generation of mature 5'-ends of tRNAs by cleaving the 5'-leader elements of precursor-tRNAs. Cellular RNase Ps are ribonucleoproteins. Lineage: Bacteria; Pseudomonadati; Pseudomonadota; Gammaproteobacteria; Enterobacterales; Enterobacteriaceae. The record is from RNAcentral.